Molecule: long non-coding RNA, 1341 nt
Organism: Myxocyprinus asiaticus (Chinese sucker)
Lineage: Eukaryota; Metazoa; Chordata; Actinopteri; Cypriniformes; Catostomidae
Exons: 3
Source: RefSeq, a predicted model, not a curated record
ACAUCACAAGAGGAGUCAGCGUUAAAAACAGAUACAGGUCAGAGGUGUUUGUUCCAGUACCUCGGGUUUGGCAGGCAGUGAUUAUGCCAGACAGGAGACGAGAGGGGAUGGUAAAUCACAACCAGGGUCACUGCAGGCACUGGCUCCUCCCCCUCUUCCUCAAGGGUCUCAGAAAUUGGACCAUUUGACUGCAACUCCUCUCCCCUCCCAGCUCUUGAUAAAACCUCCAUCCAGCGUCGCUGUAGCUCCUCAUUGUCGGCACUGAAGUAAACGGUCAAAUGACUCUGGCUCAUUUUGAAGGCGUAGCGACGUUCGAGACGGUCACUUGAUUCAGGAAACUACACAGCACACUGUUUUCAGCUGCCACAGAGGCCUGUUUCUGCACAUCAGAAAACACAUUACAAUCUUAAUAUGGACUACCACAGUUUGCAAGAUCAAAAAAUGUGUUUACAGUGAUACACUUACAAUGGAAGCCUAGCACGCAGGCAGGUUGGAGGGUAAAGGAUUGUUCAAAUUGAAUGUUAGGGGCUGGGUAUUCAUACAUAUUUCUAUUCAGGGUACCUUGAAACUAGGUACAUUAUGAAAAUAUACAUUUUAUAAAUGAUACUUUGUUUUUCUUCAUUUUGGUCCCAUUUUAGCUUUUAAAACAUACACAAAUCUAUGUAUUACAUCAAUAACUACAAUAUUAUAUUGCAUAUAUUAUUUUUUUACAUGUUUAUUGUUUAAUGCAUAAUUUGUACUAUUUACAAGUAUUUACAUUGAUUUGUAGAACACACAAGUGCUAAAAUCGGUACCAUCUCUUUAAGAAAACUGGCAGUUCUGUAAAGAGUGUCUGUAAAUGAGCGUAUAUGAGGAGAGGACUCGAAUGGCAUCUUUACCUCAUCCGUGCUAUUCGUGAUUUAGUGUUUAUUUUUGGUUGUUUUUGAUCAACAAUUGACUGUAAAGAACAGAAAGAAUAAUAAAAGACACAUUAUUCAAUGACAAAUGGAUUGUGUGGAUCUCGUCUUUGGACACACAUUACACAAAACGUGUCUAAUCAAACUUUUACUCUCAAGAUGCAGUGAAAGGAUGCUGAACUUCUUCACCAAUAUGUUACUCAAUCACUGGUGAGUAAAAUCUGAACAUUUACCAGCCAGUGGCUAAUCACAGACAUUUUUAACCGAUUAACACAAAAUUUGGUCUCAUGUGCGAUUGAUUUACUCGCAUUGUAGAGAGUUGGACAUGAAGUGAAAGAUCACUCUUGGGAUUUAGGAAUCGAGAUCAAGACUGAUGCAUUAUGGCAGCAGUCAUAUCACCCUGUAGCUCUAGACUAGUUACCCACUGAAGCUAAGCAGGGUUGAG